UGAGGAAUAUUGGACAAUGGUCGGAAGACUGAUCCAGCCAUGCCGCGUGCAGGAUGACGGCCUUAUGGGUUGUAAACUGCUUUUGUAUGGGAAGAAUAAGGUCUACGUGUAGAUUGAUGACGGUACCAUACGAAUAAGCAUCGGCUAACUCCGUGCCAGCAGCCGCGGUAAUACGGAGGAUGCGAGCGUUAUCCGGAAUCAUUGGGUUUAAAGGGUCCGUAGGCGGGCUUAUAAGUCAGAGGUGAAAGCACUGAGCUCAACUGAGUAACUGCCUUUGAAACUGUAGGUCUUGAAUAUUUGUGAAGUAGCUGGAAUGUGUAGUGUAGCGGUGAAAUGCAUAGAUAUUACACAGAACACCAAUUGCGAAGGCAUGUUACUAACAAAUUAUUGACGCUGAUGGACGAAAGCGUGGGGAGCGAGCAG
This 423-nucleotide ribosomal RNA is filed under the name uncultured bacterium. RNAcentral's name for it is "bacterial SSU rRNA". It matches the Rfam family "Bacterial small subunit ribosomal RNA", at positions 355 to 775 of the family's 1533-position model. The record is from RNAcentral.